CCCCUAGAUGUUCUGGGCCGCACGCGCGCUACACUGAACAGUUCAACAAGUCUUAACCUUGGCCGAUAGGUCUGGGUAAUCUUUGAACGCUGUUCGUGAUUGGGAUAGACCUUUGCAAUUAUGGGUCUUCAACGAGGAAUUCCUAGUAAACGCAAGUCAUCAGCUUGCAUUGAUUACGUCCCUGCCCUUUGUACACACCGCCCGUCGCACCUACCGAUUGAAUGGUCCGGUGAAAUCUCGGGACGGCGGCUUGGUCGCUUGCGUCCGACUGCUGAAACUUGAUUAAACCAUAUCAUUUAGAGGAAGGUGAAGUCGUAGCA
RNAcentral lists this ribosomal RNA (320 nucleotides) under uncultured eukaryote. RNAcentral describes it as "partial 18S ribosomal RNA". It matches the Rfam family "Eukaryotic small subunit ribosomal RNA", at positions 1470 to 1796 of the family's 1831-position model. The record is from RNAcentral.